This 253-nucleotide ribosomal RNA is filed under the name uncultured bacterium. RNAcentral describes it as "partial 16S ribosomal RNA". It matches the Rfam family "Bacterial small subunit ribosomal RNA", at positions 524 to 776 of the family's 1533-position model. The record is from RNAcentral.
UACGGAGGGUGCGAGCGUUGUUCGGAUUUAUUGGGCUUAAAGGGUGCGCAGGUGGCUCGGUCAGUUAGUGGUGAAAUGCGGCCGCUCAACGGUCGAACUGCCAUUGAUACUGCCUGGCUUGAGAGGAGUGGAGGCCGCCGGAACGGACGGUGUAGCGGUGAAAUGCAUAGAGAUCGUCCAGAACGCCGAUGGCGAAGGCAGGUGGCUACGCUUCGUCUGACACUGAGGCACGAAAGCGUGGGGAGCGAACAGG